This 240-nucleotide ribosomal RNA is filed under the name uncultured bacterium. RNAcentral describes it as "partial 16S ribosomal RNA". It matches the Rfam family "Bacterial small subunit ribosomal RNA", at positions 537 to 776 of the family's 1533-position model. The record is from RNAcentral.
AGCGUUGUUCGGAAUUAAUGGGCGUAAAGGGCGCGUAGGCGGCCUGUUAAGUCGAACGUGAAAUCCCCGGGCUCAACCCGGGAACUGCGUCCGAUACUGGCAGGCUUGAAUCCGGGAGAGGGAUGCGGAAUUCCAGGUGUAGCGGUGAAAUGCGUAGAUAUCCGAAGGAACGCCGGUGGCGAAAGCGACGUGCUGGAUCUCUUCUGACGCUGAGGCGCGAAAGCCAGGGUAGCGAACGGG